RNAcentral lists this ribosomal RNA (469 nucleotides) under uncultured bacterium. RNAcentral describes it as "partial 16S ribosomal RNA". It matches the Rfam family "Bacterial small subunit ribosomal RNA", at positions 28 to 507 of the family's 1533-position model. The record is from RNAcentral.
GAUGAACGCUGGCGGCGUGCUUAACACAUGCCAGUCGAACGGUGAACCCGGAGCUUGCUCUGUGGGAUCAGUGGCGAACGGGUGAGUAACACGUGAGUAACCUGCCCCUGACUCUGGGAUAAGCGCUGGAAACGGCGUCUAAUACUGGAUAUGUGACGUGACCGCAUGGUCUGCGUUUGGAAAGAUUUGGGGGUUGGGGAUGGGCUCGGGGCGUAUCAGCUUGUUGGUGGGGGAGUGGCUUACCAAGGGUUUGACGGGUACCCGGCCGGAGAGGGUGACCGGCCACAGUGGGACUGAGAGAGGGCGCAGACGCCUACGGGAGGCAGCAGUGGGGAAUAUGGCACAAUGGGCGGAAGCCUGAUGCAGCAACGCCGCGUGCGGGAUGACGGCCUUCGGGUUGUAAACCGCUUUCGCCUGUGACGAAGCGGGAGUGACGGUAAUGGGUAAAGAAGCAACGGCUAACUACGUG